CCUACGGGAGGCAGCAGUGGGGAAUCUUGCGCAAUGGGCGAAAGCCUGACGCAGCAACGCCGCGUGCGGGAAGAAGGCUUUCGGGCUGUAAACCGCUUUCAGCAGGAACGAAAAUGACGGUACCUGCAGAAGAAGGAGCGGCCAACUAUGUGCCAGCAGCCGCGGUGAUACAUAGGCUUCAAGCGUUGUCCGGAUUUAUUGGGCGUAAAGAGUUCGUAGGCGGUCGAGUAAGUCGGGUGUGAAAAUUCUGGGCUCAACCCAGAGACGCCACCCGAUACUGCUUGACUUGAGUUCGAUAGGGGAGUGGGGAAUUCCUAGUGUAGCGGUGAAAUGCGCAGAUAUUAGGAGGAACACCGGUGGCGAAGGCGCCACUCUGGAUCGAUACUGACGCUGAGGAACGAAAGCAUGGGUAGCAAACAGGAUUAGAUACCCUGGUAGUCCAUGCCGUAAACGGUGGGCACUAGGUGUGGGUUUCUAUUAACGAAAUCCGCGCCGUCGCUAACGCAUUAAGUGCCCCGCCUGGGGAGUACGGUCGCAAGACUAAAACUUACAAGAUAUGACGNGAGAGUGCGACGAGACACAGGAGGUAGAG
RNAcentral lists this ribosomal RNA (592 nucleotides) under uncultured bacterium. RNAcentral describes it as "bacterial SSU rRNA". It matches the Rfam family "Bacterial small subunit ribosomal RNA", at positions 338 to 946 of the family's 1533-position model. The record is from RNAcentral.